RNAcentral lists this long non-coding RNA (1246 nucleotides) under Sinocyclocheilus grahami. RNAcentral describes it as "lncRNA (ENSSGRG00000029573.1)". The record is from RNAcentral. Lineage: Eukaryota; Metazoa; Chordata; Actinopteri; Cypriniformes; Cyprinidae.
CCCUAACAGCCCCAUGAUCAACCAUUCUGGGGAGUUUCAGUCUGCGCCGAAAUAUGCUCGUUCCUUCGGCGUGAAUCCCACCCUUACCACUUCCCCCCACCAAGAGAUCCCUUCGAUGCAAGAGCUGGAUGUGUCACCGGCUGAUGUGUACUCAAAUGGCAUGAUCAUCUCUGACAUCACCCACCUGCUGGAUCCCACACCUGAGCCUAGCAGAGAGCCAGUGACAGACAGCUUUCCCGCAACUCAAACCACAUUUUUAUCUCCCGCCUCCCCUACUCUGCCCUCCAUGGAGCUGGCACUGAAUUUGCUAGAUGACCCAGCUGCCCAGGAGUCUGAGGAAAUACCCUCUGAAAGUAAUGAUGUGUCGGAUCCACUGGCACUAAUUGAAUCCAGUUUAGCAGUGAUCCGCUCAUACGUUCCACCCUCACCAGACCUGGACAAUUUCAGCAAGAUCCUUAGUCCUGGCUGCCACAUCUCUGCUGUUAAAGACUCUGACACGAAAACCAAGAGCAAACAGAGAAGCCAGAAUGAAGCCGAUGCGCUACCUCACGCCGACACAGUUACACAGCAGCAGAGCCUGCAACAAAAUGCAGACCCGGAGCAGGAGCGCUACGAUAGUGGGGAGUAUUCAGAUAUCUUACCAUCCCUUCUGCAGCUGGUGCAGGAAGCAUCCAGCCUCUCCUUCAGUGAAACUACACUGCCUUUAGAGCUCUCUUUUAUCAUUUAAAACUCUAAUGCAUUUGAUAUUGUGCUGUGGUGGUUGAUAGUAAAAAGUGGUAUCUGAAACAGCCAAUAGUUGAUAGCUCUGCUGUUUAAUGGAAGGCUCAGUAUCAUUAUGCGGCAAUUGGAUAUAUGUAAAUUGUAAAUUAUGUAAAUUUUCCAUUGUGAUUUUUUUAUCCAUCAAUGAACUCUAACCUCUCUUGUUGACUCAAGAGUGAUUUCACAACAAACUUUUAGUCUAUUAGCACAAUUUACCAUGUGGGGUAAAGCAAUAGACCAAAAUGACAGAAAGCACUUUGAAUCAUCUGUGUUUUUUAAAAUUCAGUACAUGAUGGAAAAUUUUCCGUUAAUGCAACCUCUGCAGUGGGUGCUGUUUUAAAGGCAGCAUUUUUGUGUGGAAGGCUUGCCAUGAUGGUUUUAUUUUGCAGAAAAUCUGCUGCAUACACCCACCAAAUGUCUAAAUGUGUAACAACUAAUAUGCUAAUAAUAGAACUAAUGUGGCAAUUAAAGUUACUUAAGAGCAUGA